Molecule: ribosomal RNA, 253 nt
Filed under: uncultured bacterium
Lineage: Bacteria
Description: partial 16S ribosomal RNA
Rfam family: Bacterial small subunit ribosomal RNA
Source: RNAcentral
UACGGAGGGGGCUAGCGUUGUUCGGAAUUACUGGGCGUAAAGCGCACGUAGGCGGCUUUGCAAGUCGGAUGUGAAAGCCCACGGCUCAACCGUGGAAGUGCAUCCGAAACUGCAUGGCUGGAGUCUCGGAGAGGAAGGUGGAAUGCUUGGUGUAGAGGUGAAAUUCGUAGAUAUCAAGCAGAACACCUGCGGCGAAGGCGGCCUUCUGGACGAUGACUGACGCUGAGACGCGAAAGCGUGGGGAGCAAACAGG